This 67-nucleotide transfer RNA is filed under the name Pelagomacellicephala iliffei. Its description in RNAcentral is "tRNA-Ser". It matches the Rfam family "tRNA". Rfam says of the family: Transfer RNA (tRNA) molecules are approximately 80 nucleotides in length. Their secondary structure includes four short double-helical elements and three loops (D, anti-codon, and T loops). Lineage: Eukaryota; Metazoa; Annelida; Polychaeta; Phyllodocida; Polynoidae. The record is from RNAcentral.
AGUUUUUGUUCAGGAACUAGAUGAUUUUGAAAAUCAAUUACCAAGGGUUCGACUCCCUUAAAAACUU